AUACCAAUGCAGAGCUUUCAAAGUUUUGCAAUUGGAAUGAGUACAACGUAAAUACCUUAACGAUCACCAAUUGGAGGGCAAGUCUGGUGCCAGCAGCCGCGGUAAUUCCAGCUCCAAUAGCGUAUAUUAAAGUUGUUGCAGUUAAAGCGCUCGUAGUUGGAUUUCUGGGCUGGCGCAGUGGUCCGCCGCAAGGUUGGUACUGCCGGGCCGGCUCAUCUUCUCGAAGACUGUAUGCUCUUAACUGAGUGUGCAUGGAUUCGGGACCUUUACUUUGAAAAAAUUAGAGUGUUCAAAGCAGGCUUACGCUUGAAUACAUUAGCAUGGAAUAAUUGAAUAGGAUUUCGGUUCUAUUUUGUUGGUUUCUAGGACCAAAAUAAUGAUUAAUAGGGACGGUUGUGGGCGUUUGUAUUUCAUAGUCAGAGGUGAAAUUCUUAGAUUUAUGGAAGACACACAACAGCGAAAGCAUUCGCCAAGGAUGUUUUCAUUAAUCAAGAACGAAAGUUAGGGGAUCGAAAACGAUUAGAUACCGUUGUAGUCUUAACCAUAAACUAUGCCGACUAGGGAUCAGUGGAUGUUUCUUUAUGACUCCAUUGGCACCUUACGAGAAAUCAAAGUUUUUGGGUUCUGGGGGGAGUAUGGUCGCAAGGCUGAAACUUAAAGGAAUUGACGGAGGGACACCACCAGGAGUGGAGCCUGCGGCUUAAUUUGACCCAACACGGGGAAACUCACCAGGUCCAGACAUAGUGAGGAUUGACAGAUUGAGAGCUCUUUCUUGAUUUUAUGGGUGGUGGUGCAUGGCCGUUCUUAGUUGGUGGAGUGAUUUGUCUGGUUAAUUCCGUUAACGAACGAGACCUUAACCUACUAAAUAGUUACGUGAUUCUCGAAUCACGGGCAACUUCUUAGAGGGACAAUUGGCGUUUAGCCAGUGGAAGUUUGAGGCAAUAACAGGUCUGUGAUGCCCUUCGACGUUCUGGGCCGCACGCGCGCUACACUGAUGGAGACAACGAGUAUAUAACCUGAUUUGACAAGAUUGGGUAAUCUUUUGAGCCUUCAUCGUGCUGGGGAUAGACCUUUGCAAUUUUCGGUCUUCAACGAGGAAUUCCUUGUAAGCGUUGUUCAUCACACAGCGUUGAAUACGUCCCUGUCUCUUGUACACACCGCCCGUCGCUACUACCGAUUGAGCGAUUUAGUGAGGUCUCGGGACUGGCGGCCGGGAGCUGGCAACAGCACCCGACUGCCGGGAACCUGCU
RNAcentral lists this ribosomal RNA (1250 nucleotides) under metagenome. Its description in RNAcentral is "SSU rRNA". It matches the Rfam family "Eukaryotic small subunit ribosomal RNA", at positions 477 to 1759 of the family's 1831-position model. The record is from RNAcentral.